RNAcentral lists this long non-coding RNA (1625 nucleotides) under Fragaria vesca (wild strawberry). RNAcentral's name for it is "long non-coding RNA (FVES_LNC005066)". The record is from RNAcentral. Lineage: Eukaryota; Viridiplantae; Streptophyta; Magnoliopsida; Rosales; Rosaceae.
GCAAAUAAAAAAACUUAAUGUCUUGAUCAAGACCAAGGAUUAAAAUAUCGAUAUCGGAAGAUAUAUCGGUCAUUUGAAAAAGGGAGAUUUCAGAUAUAUCGGGGAUAUAUCGGGGAAACCCGAGAAAAAAAUAUCAGUAUUUUGGGGAGAAUUUUUUUUCUAAAAUAUUUAAUUUAUUGAAUUUAUAUAUAAAUAUUACAAAUAUCAACUUCAUCUACAUCCAGAAUGAGAAUCUAGGUCAUUGAUAAGAGUCAUAAGACACACGCUGAUCCACAAAAGUACAAUAAUCAGAUCAAGACAUAUGACUCAUAUAGUACAAAUUGUAGUGUUGAAUAUGAUAAUCAUAUAUGUCUUUGGAGCUGCCGACUGUUUCCCCUAUAAGUGGAUAGUAAGGAUGAAUCUAAUUGAAUGACUGAUCACUGACUUCCGCGCAUUGAUUAUAGCCAUAAACAUUAUAGCCAUAUUGAUUGUUGCCUUCUUGGGAUUCAUUUAAGGUUCAGUCCCACUACCUAAACUGACAGAAUCAAAACUUAGCGCAACUGAAGCAACAUCUUGAUCAUCAUUUGGACCUCUAGUCCUCUUCCCAUACAUGGUAUCCUCUUGCGCUCCAUAUCUAGUACUUCUAUAGCCAUGAUCGUAAUUUUCUUUGGAUGAAAAAUUGUUCAAUCCACCAACUGUAGAAGAUUGUCCAUAUACAAACCUGGUGCCAGUAUUUCCACCACCUUUUCCGCUUCCACCAUCUUCAUCAUUAUCUGAACUAUCCGGAGUUGUUGUGCCGCCCCAUGCAUCAUCACUGUCUAAAUUAUCUUCUGGGUUUCCAACAACUUCUUCAAAUAAUACCCUUGUACAUUGAUUCCAUUGGCAGUUGCAAUUUCAACCACUUCAGGAGGUGGAUUGCCACGGAUAAUUGUGUUAUGUAUCUUAUGUCACGGACUCACGGUCUCACACUCUCACCAAUACACUUGAGUUCUCUAUCUUAUACUCAUUAUCUUUCUCAAGUGUAAAUAUUCCUCUACUGUCCACUCAUCUCCAAGUUUGAUAAUUGUGUAAUAGAUCGAUCUGCAUCCAGAUGUAUCUAAAAAGGAAUCAUGUUCUUCUCGAGAGUCGAGACCACCACUCUUCAUUGGGAUACACCUCGAGGGAAUUACUUCUCUUCCGGAUGACAUUUCAAUUUUUUACAGAUAUUUUUUUAAUAUGUCGGUGAUAUAUCGAAAAUAUCAUAAAUGUCGGAGAUAUUUCCUAAUAUCGGUGAUAUUUGACGAUAUUUCCUAAAUAUCGGGGAAAUAUCGUAGAUACGGUGAAAGAUAAGAUAUUGACCCCUAUAGAUAUAUCGGUUCUUCGAAAAAAGGAGAUAUCGGAGGAUAUAUCGGAUAUAUCGCAGAGAUUUUAAUCCUUGAUAAGACAAUGAUGAGAUGGCAAAUACCAGAUGCUGCGAGAUGGUGCAUGUAUCCAUAAUUGUUCGUAUGCUAUCAGCAAUGGCCAUUAAACACAACAUAGAGCCUCAGUAUCGUCGUCCCACCAAUAAGCAUUUGUUUCAGCAUGAUCCCGAGGUCUCUAUAAAUACUACCAAAAGCCUCACUGAUAUAUAUAUAUAUAUAUAUAUAUAUAUAUAUAUAUAUAUAUAU